GGUGUUCGGUAUAGGUAGAUGAUAUAUAUA
This 30-nucleotide non-coding RNA is filed under the name Trypanosoma brucei brucei. Lineage: Eukaryota; Euglenozoa; Kinetoplastea; Trypanosomatida; Trypanosomatidae. The record is from RNAcentral.